CCUACGGGGGGCAGCAGUGGGGGAUAUUGGACAAUGGGGGGAACCCUGAUCCAGCGACGCCGCGUGAGUGAAGAAGUAUUUCGGUAUGUAAAGCUCUGUCAGCAGGGAAGAAAGAAAUGACGGUACCUGACCAAGAAGCCCCGGCUAACUAAGUGCCAGCAGCCGCGGUAAUACGUAGGGGGCAAGCGUUAUCCGGAAUUACUGGGUGUAAAGGGAGCGUAGACGGCUAAGUAAGGCUGAAGUGAAAGGCCGGGGCGCAACCCCGGGACUGCUCUGGAAACUAUUGAACUAGAGUGCAGGAGAGGUAAGCGGAAGUCCUAGUGUAGCGGUGAAAUGCGUAGAUAUUAGGAGGAACACCAGUGGCGAAGGCAGCUUACUGGACUGUAACUGACGUUGAGGCUCGAAAGCGUGGGGAGCAAACAGGAUUAGAUACCCUUGUAGUC
Molecule: ribosomal RNA, 443 nt
Filed under: uncultured bacterium
Lineage: Bacteria
Description: partial 16S ribosomal RNA
Rfam family: Bacterial small subunit ribosomal RNA
Source: RNAcentral